UACGGAGGUGGCAGGCGUUACUCGGAUUGAUUGGGUGUAAAGGGUUUGUAGGCGGUGCGCUAAGUCGAAUGUGAAAUCCCUUGGCUUAACCAAGGAACUGCAUUCGAAACUGGCGUGCUUGAGUGAUGGAGAGGAAAGCGGAAUUCCCGGUGUAACAGUGAAAUGCGUAGAUAUCGGGAGGAACACCAGUGGCGAAGGCGGCCACCUGGACGGUUACUGACGCUCAGACCCGAAAGCGUGGGUAGCAAACAGG
Molecule: ribosomal RNA, 253 nt
Filed under: uncultured bacterium
Lineage: Bacteria
Description: partial 16S ribosomal RNA
Rfam family: Bacterial small subunit ribosomal RNA
Source: RNAcentral